RNAcentral lists this ribosomal RNA (468 nucleotides) under uncultured bacterium. RNAcentral's name for it is "partial 16S ribosomal RNA". It matches the Rfam family "Bacterial small subunit ribosomal RNA", at positions 28 to 507 of the family's 1533-position model. The record is from RNAcentral.
GACGAACGCUGGCGGCGUGCUUAACACAUGCGAGUCGAACGGAAAGGCCCUGCUUUUGUGGGGUGCUCGAGUGGCGAACGGGUGAGUAACACGUGAGUAACCUGCCCUUGACUUUGGGAUAACUUCAGGAAACUGGGGCUAAUACCGGAUAGGAGCUCCUGCUGCAUGGUGGGGGUUGGAAAGUUUCGGCGGUUGGGGAUGGACUCGCGGCUUAUCAGCUUGUUGGUGGGGUAGUGGCUUACCAAGGCUUUGACGGGUAGCCGGCCUGAGAGGGUGACCGGCCACAUUAGAACUGAGAUACGGCCCAGACUCCUACGAGAGGCAGCAGUGAGGAAUGUUGCACAAUGGGCGGAAGCCUGAUGCAGCAACGCCGCGUGCGGGAUGACGGCCUUCGGGUUGUAAACCGCUUUCGCCUGUGACGAAGCGUGAGUGACGGUAAUGGGUAAAGAAGCACCGGCUAACUACGUG